RNAcentral lists this ribosomal RNA (253 nucleotides) under uncultured bacterium. RNAcentral describes it as "partial 16S ribosomal RNA". It matches the Rfam family "Bacterial small subunit ribosomal RNA", at positions 524 to 776 of the family's 1533-position model. The record is from RNAcentral.
UACGCAGGGUGCAAGCGUUAAUCGGAAUUACUGGGCGUAAAGCGUACGCAGGCGGCUAUGUAAGACAGGUGUGAAAUCCCCGGGCCUAACCUGGGAACCGCAUUUGUGACUGCAUAGCUAGAGUCCGUCAGAGGGGGGUGGAAUUCCACGUGUAGCAGUGAAAUGCGUAGAGAUGUGGAGGAACACCGAUGGCGAAGGCAGCCCCCUGGGAUGAGACUGACGCUCAUGUACGAAAGCGUGGGGAGCAAACAGG